CACCGGCGGACGGCUCAGUAACACGUCGGUAACCUACCCUCGGGAGGGGGAUAACCCCGGGAAACUGGGGCUAAUUCCCCAUAGGCCUGAGGUACUGGAAGGUCCUCAGGCCGAAAGGGACUUAUGUCCGCCCGAGGAUGGGCCGGCGGCCGAUUAGGUAGUUGGUGGGGUAAUGGCCCACCAAGCCGAAGAUCGGUACGGGCUGUGAGAGCAGGAGCCCGGAGAUGGACACUGAGACACGGGUCCAGGCCCUACGGGGCGCAGCAGGCGCGAAACCUCCGCAAUGCGGGAAACCGCGACGGGGGGACCCCGAGUGCCGUGGCAACGCCACGGCUUUUCCGGAGUGUAAAAAGCUCCGGGAAUAAGGGCUGGGCAAGGCCGGUGGCAGCCGCCGCGGUAAUACCGGCGGCCCGAGUGGUGGCCGCUAUUAUUGGGCCUAAAGCGUCCGUAGCCGGGCCCGUAAGUCCCUGGCGAAAUCCCACGGCUCAACCGUGGGGCUUGCUGGGAUACUGCGGGUCUUGGGACCGGGAGAGGCGGGGGGUACCCCUGGGGUAGGGGUGAAAUCCUAUAAUCCCAGGGGGACCGCCAGUGGCGAACGCG
This 600-nucleotide ribosomal RNA is filed under the name uncultured archaeon. RNAcentral describes it as "bacterial SSU rRNA". It matches the Rfam family "Archaeal small subunit ribosomal RNA", at positions 76 to 674 of the family's 1478-position model. The record is from RNAcentral.